GACGAACGCUGGCGGCGUGCCUAAUACAUGCAAGUCGAACGAACCGCGACUAAGUGCUUGCACUAAGUCAAGGUGAGUGGCGAACGGGUGAGUAACACGUGGGUAACCUACCUCAUAGUGGGGGAUAACAGUCGGAAACGACUGCUAAUACCGCAUAGGACAUAGGAUCACAUGAUCCAGUGAGGAAAGGUGGCGCAAGCUAUCGCUAAGAGAUGGACCCGCGGUGCAUUAGCUAGUUGGUAGGGUAAAGGCCUACCAAGGCGAUGAUGCAUAGCCGACCUGAGAGGGUGAUCGGCCACAUUGGGACUGAGACACGGCCCAAACUCCUACGGGAGGCAGCAGUAGGGAAUCUUCCGCAAUGGACGCAAGUCUGACGGAGCAACGCCGCGUGAGUGAAGAAGGUCUUCGGAUCGUAAAGCUCUGUUGUUAGAGAAGAACAGAGCGUAGAGUAACUGCUAUGCGUGUGACGGUAUCUAACCAGAAAGCCACGGCUAACUACGUG
RNAcentral lists this ribosomal RNA (502 nucleotides) under uncultured bacterium. RNAcentral's name for it is "partial 16S ribosomal RNA". It matches the Rfam family "Bacterial small subunit ribosomal RNA", at positions 28 to 507 of the family's 1533-position model. The record is from RNAcentral.